Mastomys coucha (southern multimammate mouse) is the source of this 446-nucleotide long non-coding RNA. RefSeq lists it as uncharacterized. NCBI's taxonomy places the organism in Eukaryota, Metazoa, Chordata, Mammalia, Rodentia, Muridae. The record is from RefSeq and is a predicted model, not a curated record. The transcript has 3 exons.
UUAUUGUUACUAUAGCUAUGUGGGGUGGGGGAGGGAUGUGGGAUAAGAGGACAAUUUACAGUAGUCAGUUUCUUCUUACAUCCUAUGAGUCCUAGAAAUCAAAUUCAUGUUAUCAAGCUUGGUGGUAAUAGUAAUGACAUAUGGUGGACCUAAGGGCAGAGUGACUCUAGACAGAUCAGUUUCAGCAUGACCACUAACAUAAAGGCACUGAGAUGACCAUGCACAAGGGACCUCACCAGUACAGGGUUGUGCGGUGACUUCUUGUAGAUGUUAUAUUUGAAUCUGUUGUCAUCAACCCUCAUUUACAAAGUCAAGGCAAAAUAUCAAAGAAGCUUUCUUCAAUGUUCCUAUUCUUCCCACAAAUGACUAAAAAGACUAACUAUUCCUAAAACAUUGGCUCAUUCUGCUUCAACCCAGAUAAACCUGGAUCUCUCCUUUGUAAACUA